RNAcentral lists this ribosomal RNA (351 nucleotides) under Triticum aestivum (bread wheat). RNAcentral describes it as "partial small subunit ribosomal RNA". The record is from RNAcentral. Lineage: Eukaryota; Viridiplantae; Streptophyta; Magnoliopsida; Poales; Poaceae.
AUGGCAUCUAGGAGACUAGGAGGAUGUUCGGCGCCGCGUACUUGGGGUGGAAGUUUUGACGGACAUAUUGAGCCACCACUCCUUGACGGAAUGCUUGUCAUUCCAAGAGGAAAUGUCAAAACUCUCGAGCACAAUCCCCAAAGCCUUGGUGAACCGGCACUUGUAAAAAAGGUAGUUCUGGUUGCCAAUUCAGUGCCAACUUUGAAGUUGCAACUUAAGCUCCAAAGGUACGAGCUUAAAAUUUAUUCUCCUUGCCAAUCCUUAUAUAUGCCUCUAAUUUAUGCUUUGUUUGUUAUGUAUCACUGCAUUGUGGAUCAAUUGGAAAACUGCGGAAGCAGGGCGGCUUUAUAG